Long non-coding RNA from Selaginella moellendorffii, 172 nucleotides. RefSeq lists it as uncharacterized. The transcript has 3 exons. The record is from RefSeq and is a predicted model, not a curated record. NCBI's taxonomy places the organism in Eukaryota, Viridiplantae, Streptophyta, Lycopodiopsida, Selaginellales, Selaginellaceae.
AUGCGCCAGAAAUAUGUUUCUUACCUGAACUCAAGCACUUGUUACUGGACAAUAAUGGCUUCUCUGGAGAAGUUCCCGAUGAAAUUGGAAACUUUUCCAAGCUGACCAUCAUGAGACUUGACAAAAAUCGAUUUGCUGGAUCACUGCUGAGCAGUUUGGGGCGGAUAUCAAC